CCCUUAGAUGUUCUGGGCCGCACGCGCGCUACACUGAUGAAUGCAACGAGCUCUACCCUUGACCGAAAGGCCCGGGUAAACUUGUGAAACUUCAUCGUGAUGGGGAUAGAUUAUUGCAAUUAUUAAUCUUCAACGAGGAAUUCCUAGUAAGCGCGAGUCAUCAGCUCGCGUUGAUUACGUCCCUGCCCUUUGUACACACCGUCCGUCGCUCCUACCGAUUGAAUGGUCCGGUGAAAUCUUCGGAUUGCUGACCAAGAUCCAGCAAUGGAGCUUGGUUGCGAGAAGUUGAUUAAACCUUAUUAUUUAGAGGAAGGAGAAGUCGUAACA
This 327-nucleotide ribosomal RNA is filed under the name uncultured eukaryote. RNAcentral's name for it is "partial 18S ribosomal RNA". It matches the Rfam family "Eukaryotic small subunit ribosomal RNA", at positions 1470 to 1796 of the family's 1831-position model. The record is from RNAcentral.